GACAGAGGAGGCGAGCGUUAUCCGGAAUCAUUGGGCGUAAAGCGUCCGUAGGCGGUUCGAUAAGUCUGGGGUUAAAGCCCGGAGCUUAACUCGGGAUCGGCCCUUGAAACUGUCAAACUUGAGUAGGGAAGGGGUAGGGGGAAUUCCCGGUGUAGCGGUGAAAUGCGUAGAUAUCGGGAAGAACACCAGCGGCGAAGGCGGGCAACUGGGCCAUUACUGACACUGAGGGACGAAAGCGAGGGGAGCAAAUAGG
Molecule: ribosomal RNA, 253 nt
Filed under: uncultured bacterium
Lineage: Bacteria
Description: partial 16S ribosomal RNA
Rfam family: Bacterial small subunit ribosomal RNA
Source: RNAcentral